Long non-coding RNA from Populus trichocarpa (black cottonwood), 2105 nucleotides. RefSeq lists it as uncharacterized. The record is from RefSeq and is a predicted model, not a curated record. The transcript is spliced from 3 exons. Lineage: Eukaryota; Viridiplantae; Streptophyta; Magnoliopsida; Malpighiales; Salicaceae.
AUAUUAUAAUUACAACAAAAGCCAAAAGAUGAUGGUCUUUUGCGCAGUGAAUUCACCGGCAGUCCCGUAAUUAUUGUCAACUUUGAUGUUUCUCUGUUUUUUUCCUCUGUCAAGCAAGUCUUCAGCUGGUCCAGAUCUAUUCUCCUUGGUCAUUGGAACUAAUCAUUCGUAGGUUUUAAUCUCAGGGAAAACACAUAUGGUUCAAGGUAUCUGGAGCGGUCAAAGUGGCGACGGUGGCUCUCUGCUAUGCUCUACGCCGUUUCUCUUAGGUAGCAUAGAGGCCAGUUCAUGGUUGCCAGCAGAUCAGAGUGGUGGCUAUCACCAAGGCCAGACCAGUUUCGCUAAUUAGACAAGUCACCGAAAUGGGUAGCCGUUGUUUGGGCAAAAACUACGCUCAGGAAGUCAAAGAAAAAGCACCCCAGUUUUCAAAGGAUAUCGAGUGGGAUUUCUUGGGCAAUUUAUAGAGUAAUCAAGUUAAAUCCUUACUAGGGAAGUGAAGAAGAAAAGCGAGAUUACUACAAAUAGAAAGGAGUUGGAUGGAACAACAUAAUUGGUUAGUUAUUCUUCAUUAGGAGAAUAUCUAUGAAUAUCUAAGUGGUAUGAUUAUUAAUUCAUUACUUGAGUUUCAACAUUUAAGUUAUAUAGAUUUGAGUAGAAAUCAUUUUGAAGGGAAUCAUUAUUUAUAUUUCAUUGGGUCCCUAAGCAGAUCGAAAUACUUGAAUCUCUGAUAAUUUUUUAACUGGAACUCUAUCAAAUUAGCUUUGCAACCUCUCAAGAUUGUAAUCUUUUGAUCUUAGUUAUAAUUCUAGUGUUAAUUUUGAAAGUUUUGACUAUCUCUUUAACUUUUUUUCUCUUGAACAUCUUGACCUGAAUAGAAAUGAUCUUAGUCAAGCUAUUGACUGGGUGCAAACGGUUAACAAGUUUUUUCUUUUAAAAGUUUUAUUGUUAAAUGAUUGUUAUCUUUAAAACAACUGUCCUUUCUCUCGUUCUUUUAUAAUUUCUUCUAAAUCCCUUGUUGUCACUCUCUCUCUUACAACCAUAUUGCUUCUACUUUCAAUUGGUUGUCCAAACUUUAGUAACAACCUUGUUUAUCUUGAACUUGGAUAUAAUUGGGAUAUCAAUUUUGAAAAUCUUAACGGUUUUUUUUUUUUUAUCUUUCUUCUUUAGAGUCUUGACCUGAGUUGAAAUAAUCUUAGUCAGACCAAUGAUUAGUUACUAGUGCUUGCCAAACUCCCUCACGUACAUGAAUUGUAUUCAAGUUUUUGUAGUUUUUCAAAUGUCAUUCCUCCAUCGAUUUCUCUUGCAAGUUUUUUUAAAUCUCUUGCAGUCAUUGAUUUCUCGAAAAACUAUUUUACUUUAAUAUUCAAUAGGUUGUCUACCAUCAAUAAUAACUUAACUGUUCUUGACCUAUUAUAUAGUUUAUUACAAAAUGAUUGUAAGAAAGAGAAAUAGGAUAGUCAUUUAACUUAAAGACUUUUAAAAGAAGAAACUUGUUAAUUGUUUGCAUCUAGUUAGUGGCAUGACUGAGAUCGUUUUCGCUCAGGUCAAGAUAUUCAAGAGAAAAAGAGGUUAAAAAGACAAUUAAUACUUUCAAAAUUAACAUCAGAAUUAUAAUUUUGAUAAAAAAAAAUUGCAAUCUUGAGAGGUUGCAAAGCUGAUUUGAGAGAGUUCUAGUUUAAAAAUUGUCGAAGAAAUUCAUGUAUCUUAGUUUGCUUAGGGACCCAACAAAAUAUGAGAAAUGAUUCUCUUCAAAAUGAUUUACACUCAGAUCCAUGUAACUUAAAUGCUGCAACUCAAGUAAUAACUUAGUGAUUGUUCCACUUAGAUGUUCAUAUGUAUUUUUAUGAUGAAAAUCAAGAAGAGUAACAUAAUUAGUUACGUUGUUGCAUCCAACUCCUUUUUAUUUAUAGAAAUUUCUCCUCAUCCUCAAGUAGAAAGAAUACCACCAUACUCAUAGUCACCAUCACUGAUUAUCAUAGAAAGUCUUACAUAAACAAGACAAGACAAUUAUUAUAUGUUUGACAAAAUGUGGCAAAUUUUCAAAUUGAACUAUGCCAAAGUUGAAUUUUCAAAAAAUAAAAUAGUAAAUCAUUAAAUUCUCUUAA